This is a long non-coding RNA of Alosa sapidissima (American shad), 2375 nucleotides long. RefSeq lists it as uncharacterized. The transcript has 3 exons. NCBI's taxonomy places the organism in Eukaryota, Metazoa, Chordata, Actinopteri, Clupeiformes, Clupeidae. The record is from RefSeq and is a predicted model, not a curated record.
CUCAAAACUCUCGAGGAUGAUCACUGCCCUGAAUUUCCAGCCAGGGUUUCUGCCAAAGAUUAUGGGCAUUUUGACAAAGGAGAUACUGUAGGCAUCUGCACAUCUCUCCCCAAUUCAAGCUGCAGUUGGAGGAAAGGAGCAAGAACAAAAUGUUUCCAUUCUGUCUGAAGAUGCCAACAGGAAUAGUGUCAUAUCAUUUAGCCCAUGUAGCUCAUGGACCAUACACACUAAAUUAAACAGUUUUAGGGUGUAUGUUUUAGUCACUACAUGACUGUUCACAGAUCAAAGAGAGGAACACACAUUCUCCUUGUGAGUGAAUGCCAGGCCUCUCCUGUUGCAAACACAAGUAAGUUCAUGUUGGUAUCUAAAGCAACAGUUCAACUAGAUCUAUCAAAACAUUUCCAUGUUAUUACCUGCUGUAACUUGGCCAGUUUGACUAGGGGAGGAUACAUAAACCAUUACUUUGCUAUUCACAGGUCUUCUUCCAAGACUUCUUGUCUGAGCUGAGAAAGACUGCGCCUCAGCUUAAUUAGCCUCUCAAUGGCUGAGGUCACCCAGGCUCCUGAGUCUGCCAGCCCUCUGGGUAUGCCACAAGGGGAAGAAACAGUGGGGGGCCAUUUUCUCAGGAUGCCUCAAUUCAAGUUCUCCUUCAAGGUGGAGUUUAUUACAUAUGGUCAUCAACACUGUGUGUACAAAUCCUGAUCUCGUCGGCUAUGAGCGAAGGAGAAAUGGACAAUAAUGAAGGGUGCGAAAGCUGUGUACUAUGAGAGAACAGUAACAUCCCAGCCCAUGCAACAUCAUCUUGUCAGACUGUGCUUAAUGAGGCCACUGCUGAGCUGACUGAUUCUGAGGAUCUAACUGGGCAGGAAAAGACUCUCAUCUGAACUUGCCAACGCAUCUUCUCCAGAGGUAUCCUACACAGCUAAAUGGUCCUUUGGAUUGUGGAAUCAUCUAAUAACUUUGUAUCAUUUCGACUAUAUUUUUUCCACCCUACACCUGACUAUUCUCUUGAAGGAUUUCAUUAUGUAUGCUGAUGUUUAUUUGCAAUUAUAACUAUAUUUAGAUACCGUGAUGAGGACAUACAGUUAAGCCCUUGACAUUAAAAGUAUAAGAAAAAAAAUGACCAUCUGUGCACCCCCAGACCUUAAAAUGAAAGUGUUCACAAGGAACUAAUGUGCCAAAAGUUCUACAUGUGCCGUGUGUCAUGUGUCCUGUAUGUGUGAUUUUCAUUGGCUGCUGAGUUGAAAUAGCAAUCUCUUGACAUAAUUACAGAAUGCACAUCUAAAAUGAUUGCAGUUAUUACCAAUAACUACUCAGCACAAUUGUGAAAUAGGUACGGUACAAUAAUAACCGUUAUUAUUACUGUUAAUGACCGUUAUUAGUCCCAAUUAUUGGGAGAAAUGCAUAUUUCAUUACUGAUGUAUAAUGUAGCAACGAGUCCCCCAAAUACAUUGAUGUGGUUGCCUGCUCAAUCUCUGAGUUUUAACAGAUGUGUUCAUUCCACUCACUGUUUCAACUCAGCUAACACUAAACACCUUUUUCCACCACACAUGCAUUUUGAAAUGUUCAUGCGGGUUACUUUAUGUUGGACAAACCAAACAUCCUCUGAAACGGAACACAAUGCCACUUUCGUUAUUGCAACAUGGACCAUACAAUAGCGAGAUAUUAUGUUCACUCCAACCAUGGCUCCAACGAAUCACUCAAAUUCUGGGACCCAGAGAAGAGGAGAAACUAUAAUGAAACUCCUGAGAAAGGAAGCAUUUUGGAUUUAUACAUUUGACACUGUAGAACCACAUGGGCCGAGCUAAGAGCUUUGUCAUUCAUGUUCUCUAUGAUUAUAGGUCAUACACUCUUAAAACGAAUGUGUUAAAAACAACACAACUUGCGUUGUUUUAACUCAUCUCUGUGUCCUUUUUUUAACUGUUACACAAAACUUAAGUUGUUUUUUUCUAACACAUCUCUGUGUCCAGAUUAUAGGGACAACACAUUAUAGUGUAUACCCAAGAGGAUAAUACUGAUUGUGUUGUGAUGUUUCAUGUAUUGGGUGACUGACGACUGCGUUACACAGUGGCGUGUCAUCCCAUUUUUUCCUGAAAGAGUGCAGACAUGGCAUUGGGUGGUUGAUGCAUUACGCCUACCUACCUCCUACUGCUAACCAUCUGCCAUCUGAUGUGGCCCAUUGAGUGUUGCUGAUUCUGCGGUCCAAGGGGCUAGAGCGCAAAUGAUACCCUUUCCAAUUGCUCAGGCAACGUACAAUCAACAAAAUUGUUAUGCAUUACUCAAACACAUUUCUUUUCAUUGUUUCUAAGAUGGCAGUAUUUUCAGUUCUGUACUUCCUCCUUUUUUUGUAUAUUUACCCCACUUUUUGAAAAGCA